RNAcentral lists this small nucleolar RNA (94 nucleotides) under Procavia capensis (Cape rock hyrax). RNAcentral's name for it is "Small nucleolar RNA U13 (ENSPCAG00000020533.1)". It matches the Rfam family "Small nucleolar RNA U13". The record is from RNAcentral. Lineage: Eukaryota; Metazoa; Chordata; Mammalia; Hyracoidea; Procaviidae.
AUCUUCCAGUUCACAAGUGUGUUGAUCAGGUUUUCAUGCCUUUGUGUGUCAUGUACCUCCUUCAAACAUUGUCAUUUGUAUUACUCAUUUGAUG